GAAUUCUUCAGUUGGAACAGACAACCAAUGGCAUGGAACCUUCACCAUCAUGUCUACAAUCUGACAGUGGAAACGAAUGUUGAGCUGUGGUCUACAUGGUCACAUGGACUUAAGAGUACCCCUCACAUAGGGCACUCUUUCUGGGUUGAGAACCUCAGGUACAAUGUAGCACCAAUAGUUGGGAUGAGAACUGAUCUGCAGACCUGAAGCGAGAUACAGACUGCUAAGAAGCUCCUGAAAGAACCAUAGUGCCUACUAUUUCUGGCUCCUGGGGCCUCAGCUGACUGCAAAAAUAUCCUUCAAUAAAUCUCACUAAGAUGCACA
Molecule: long non-coding RNA, 324 nt
Filed under: Phascolarctos cinereus (koala)
Lineage: Eukaryota; Metazoa; Chordata; Mammalia; Diprotodontia; Phascolarctidae
Description: lncRNA (ENSPCIG00000027996.2)
Source: RNAcentral